RNAcentral lists this ribosomal RNA (253 nucleotides) under uncultured bacterium. Its description in RNAcentral is "partial 16S ribosomal RNA". It matches the Rfam family "Bacterial small subunit ribosomal RNA", at positions 524 to 776 of the family's 1533-position model. The record is from RNAcentral.
UACGUAGGGACCAAGCGUUGUUCGGAUUUACUGGGCGUAAAGGGCGCGUAGGCGGCGCUGUAAGUCACUUGUGAAAUCUCCGGGCUUAACUCGGAACGGUCAAGUGAUACUGCAGUGCUAGAGUCCUGGAGAGGAAGGUGGAAUGCUUGGUGUAGAGGUGAAAUUCGUAGAUAUCAAGCGGAACACCGGUGGCGAAGGCGGCCUUCUGGACAGUGACUGACGCUGAGACGCGAAAGCGUGGGGAGCAAACAGG